Molecule: ribosomal RNA, 484 nt
Filed under: uncultured bacterium
Lineage: Bacteria
Description: partial 16S ribosomal RNA
Rfam family: Bacterial small subunit ribosomal RNA
Source: RNAcentral
AGUGAACGCUGGCGGCAGGCCUAACACAUGCAAGUCGAGCGGCAGCGGGUCCUUCGGGAUGCCGGCGAGCGGCGGACGGGUGAGGAAUACAUCGGAAUCUGCCCUGUCGUGGGGGAUAACCUAGGGAAACUUAGGCUAAUACCGCAUACGACCUACGGGUGAAAGCGGGGGAUCGCAAGACCUCGCGCGACGGGAUGAGCCGAUGUCCGAUUAGCUAGUUGGCGGGGUAAAGGCCCACCAAGGCGACGAUCGGUAGCUGGUCUGAGAGGAUGAUCAGCCACACUGGGACUGAGACACGGCCCAGACUCCUACGGGAGGCAGCAGUGGGGAAUAUUGGACAAUGGGCGCAAGCCUGAUCCAGCCAUGCCGCGUGGGUGAAGAAGGCCUUCGGGUUGUAAAGCCCUUUUGUCCGGGAAGAAAUCGUCUGGGCUAAUACCCCGGGCGGAUGACGGUACCGGAAGAAUAAGCACCGGCUAACUUCGUG